ACACCAUCUUGCACAACAGGGAUACGUUGACUAUAGAUGAUGUUUAUGAUGCUUUGCAUUCAAAGGAGAAGUUAAAGCAUCUGGUAGAAGCUACAUCGAGGGAUGAGGAGGCUCUUGUUUCUCAUGGUGAUCUACGGAGAGACAGGUUUAGGGAGAACAGCAAUGUGUAUUGCUUCUACUGCAGACGGAGAGGACACGUGAAGAAGGAUUAUGACAAGUUGCAAGCUAAAGGAGAUUUAGCUGCAAAUCAAAAAGGGCAAUUCUGUAAUUCAGAUGAGACUAAUGUUGCCGAGAAUUUUUCGGAUGGCGGAGAUGUGUUAAUGACUGUGGUUUCUGACGUGGAAUCUAAACCUGAUGAGGAAUGGAUUCUGGAUUCGACAUGUUCGCAUCAUAUGUGCUCCAACAGGAAUUUGUUUCAGACAUAUGAGACUAUUCAGCAAGGUAGAAUUGUGAAGGAAAACAACGAGUCUUGCCGUAUUGCUGAAAUCGGUCGAGUCAGAUUGUGGUUGUAGGAUGGGACGAUCAAAACAAUUAGCCAGGUUCGACAUGUUCCAGAUCUGAAGAUAAAUCUCAUCUAGCUGAGUACCCUGGAUGCAAAAAACUAUAAAUUCUCUGGUGGAGGUGGAGUCUUGAAAGUUCGAAAAGGUGUCCAGCUUGUACUGGAGGGACGGAA
RNAcentral lists this long non-coding RNA (673 nucleotides) under Olea europaea subsp. europaea. Lineage: Eukaryota; Viridiplantae; Streptophyta; Magnoliopsida; Lamiales; Oleaceae. The record is from RNAcentral.